GACCGCUUCUCAAAGAAGGACUUAGUUUGCUCACAUGACGCAGAGGACAGGAAGGUACAGGUGUUACAUGUAAGCAGAUCAUAUUUCCAUCGGGCACUGGAGGGGACGGCAGCACUACACUCAGGGGAAGAGAGAGAAAAAAAACGACCUUUGUGUGUGUGCUUCAAAGGCUUGUAACCAUGGAAACCCCCAAAAACAGCCCCAGCCCUCGAAUCCCGGUGACCCGUGAUGAUAGCGGCCUGUGGAUGAGGAUGGACUCCGACCCUCUGAUGGACCACACAGGGGGCCGCGGGCGGAAGCCCCGAGAGGCGACCACGGACCCCCCGCGUGGCCCGGCAGUGAUCACCAGGUAUUACAGUGUGAUGGACGACGACGACAACAACUUUGUCCCACCUCCUCCGCCUGACGCGGCUCCUUCUCUGCACGCAGAUGCUCAGGUGAAUAAUUCCAACGUGACCUUUACAAAGGGGUCAGCUGAAGAUAAUCCCAGUGGCUUAGGUUGGCAUCCUGGGGAGAGCCGGCUAAUGGCAACGCAGAGCGCAGCGGAGCAAGUGAACACCGAGCAGACGUCUACGGACGGCGCAUCCCCGCCUGAAGUCUCCAUUCUACCUGAAGAACAAGACCUGACAUCAAUGGAGGGAGCAUGUUGUGAUCCAACCCAAAGACGCCAUCAUGGCAGAACAGCGGGCGGCGAGCAAUCGGAGCCUGAGGAUAUUUUGAGUGAGGGGCAGAAACGGUGCAGAGAGGCUCAAAGCAACAAGAACCCAAAACAGGUACCUUCAAACAUUGGGGAGAACUCUGAAAACACACAGAAUUUUGACAAAGAGGGAGAAUCAAUGUGUGGCUUUGCUAAGACGUACUCAGCCGUGCAACAUGCUGACUUUGGUGAAGAUUUUGAGUCCAAUGAGCCUCCGGAGCCCUCCAAAAGACCCCAAAACCCGACGGACGCAGCGACCUGUCGGCCGUACGUACCAGAGGUCCCAGUGGAGGAGUCCAAUGGACACUCCAUCUCCGACGGCUCCGAAGAGACAGGGCAGGGAGAUGGGAGCAGGAGAAUAUCUAAUGGUAUCCAGCAAGGAGAGCAGCUGCUUCAACGUCUGCAGCUGGUCCAGCUGCGUCAGGACGUGUCUCUACCCGGGAGCCCUGACGCCUCCCAGCAGGCUGUCCGAGAGACACGAGGCGAGACAAGGAGCGCACCUGGGAGUGACGUAGGCGAUUCGAAAGCAAGGGGAGCCCACUUGACGGGUGAGAAUGAGGAAGAAGAGAGCGGGGGAGAGAGAUGGAAGCCGAUGGCGGUGGAAGGGAGUGGGAGGUAUGCCGUGGAACUGGAGGCUGGGAUGUCUUUGUUAAUGCCGACGGUGCAGUCAGGGCAGCACAACACCACCAUGGCAGAGGCAGGAGACUAUGAGGAAGAUCAAAGGGACCCCGGUGAAACCUCCUCCACCCAGAAUCCCUUUCUCUCCACCUGCCACCGACUCUCGGCCUCCGAGGCCUGGGUUGAGGGGCGGAGCCCCAGCGAGGCCCUGGGGAGCCUGCAGAGAGCAAGCGGCAUCUUCGACGUCGCCGAUGAUCCAGACGUGCUGGAGAUCCCCUUCAAGAACCAUAUUACGCUCGACCCCUUCCCCACCGAGGAUGGCGGCGACUGGCAGUUCUCCUCGCAGAAGAUGAAAAAGGAGAUAAGCCAGGAGACGCGGAGGGAGCUGGUGCUGGUCAACCAGGGCAAGAUCCCGGGGGGGUACAGCAAAGGAGAGGUCCGCCAGCGGAAGGAGACAAAGCUCCUGUUCGAGGCCUUCCAGCAGAUCAACACGGAUGGUCCGGCAAGGCCCCCAAGACCCAUCGUGAAAGGUCACGUUUACCCCUCUGUGCUGGAGCGCACCCGCAGCAUGGAGAUGCUGUCGCUCAAAAGUCGGCCCGUCUGCAGAACACAAUCCUUCCGGCUGAUUAAGGAGAGCGAGAAACACGCAGAAAUCCUCAGGCCAUCGAGCCUAAAGAGCGGUUCUCUGGACAAAGCGCGCCCCUCUCACUCCGCAAGACACAAGGAGCGCGCGCAGCCGAGCGGUAGCGCGGACUCCGGCGGGGAUGCCGGGAGCAGAGACACGGAGGCCAACGGCCCGAAAGAAUGUCCCGCCGUCAGGGGAAACCCCUUCUUCAAGCUGCGCCCGGCCCUUGCUCUGAAGCCAGAGGUAGAGAAGGACAUCCGGGAGGCCAAGGAGAGAGAGGAAGAGCUGCGCAGACAGAGAUGCACCCUGUACGGGGAGAACGGGCCGAGGGGUGAAGACGGAGAGGGGUCAAGGUUCAAACCGACGCUCGCCACAGACGUCAGGAAACAAUUGAGGGGAAAACUGGAACGCGUAUGGCCGCCGCCCUCCAAGAAGGACCAGAAGAAUUCGGAGCAGACGCAGCAGGAGGCAAAGGUUCACCGGGUGGGAGGUCAGAGGGCGUCUCUGUGGCAGCGCUGGGAGUCCGGCCUGAUCAACGGGAAGACGCCAAAGGAAAAAAAAUGAGGUCGGCCAUGUUGAAUAUAUCCACCAUCUGCAAUGCUAGAGCUGCUCCAGUCCAAGAUGGAUCAAUGGAACCGAGGUCCAGAAGUUAGUUCCGGCUUGUACGCUUUUUCUCUCUUCCACUGUGGCUCUGUCUCAGUGUCGACCAGCAGUUUUGAUAUUUUUAAAAGUCUAGGUGUAUUCAGCGGGUAAAUAAAGCAAAAGCGUAACACGUUAAGGGGAAGACGCCAGUCAGUUUACUGCUAUCUUACCGGUUAUGGAUUUUUCUAAUUUCUAUAAACUGUCAAGUUGGAAUGUAAUGUCGUAAUGAAGCUGUCAUUUUUCUCUUUUCAUAAGUUCCCGCAGCAAAUCUCCAUUAGAUCGUUUGCAUUGAGAUUUGAAUAAAUUAGAGAAAAAAACUCUGGCUUGUAAACAAAUGGCUUGUUUAUUUCCAUAUAUAAACACACUUUUUUUUGUGAUUUUUGAACCAAGCAACAAUGAUUAUCAGUAGAAAAUGAACUAUAUUUUCCUAAUUCUGGGCUGAGAUUUUAAAGGGGCAGUGUGCUGAUUUUACAUAUCACAUUAUACUGUACAGAUGUCAUCAUGGUCUUUUGGGAUAGGGUUUGGACUGACAAAUCUAUAACAGGAAGCCUGUGUUUGAACUGGAGGUGUGGAGUUUAAAAGAUAUGGGUGUUUAUUCGGCUUGCAAAAGACACUGUCCGGGUUGCAUUAUGGAAAGUGUUGUUUCCCUUGUUUCGGGAACAUUCGGACAUUCGAGCACCGAGUCCAAUAUCAAAAAGGUCUCGUUGUGCACAAAUGAAUAGGGUAGUUCACGGAUGAAGUUCAGGAAAACUUUCCCCUGUUGACCAGCGGUCAUGUUUACUAGAGAGAGCUUGGUUUGUAAUCCUGCACAAAGAGACCCGUACAGCUUAGCCCGUCUAAGUACCAUCUGUCAGGACAAGAGGCUCUGCCGAUGGAGGAGGCCUCUGCCUGGCACAGACUCACCAGUGAUGAUGGGCCACAGCUCCCACCGACCCACCGAGCAGCAACGGCCCCGAAGUUUCAGCCACUUUCUUUUUUCUACUGUACCAGCCCCGGGUAGACAAAAAAGGGUUAAUACAAAGAUGAAUGGAGUUCACACAUCUGUUAUAGCUAAAAUACACAUAUCUUCAUAACAACUGUCGCCUUCAACUGCCAACCCCAGCCCCAACCCCACAUGAAUCAUUCCGCUCAGUUUUCUCCAUAUUUCUUUCUUUUUGCUUUUGUUCUGUCUGUCCUUGCCCUAUGUAAAGUGUCUUAGGGUAUCUAGAGAAGCACUAUAUAAAGUAGUAGUAUUAUUAACAAGAAAGAAAUUACACAAGUUUUUAAAACACAAUGCAUUUUUUAAGAUUACACCCAGACGCUUUUUGGGCUUGUGAACUCUUAUGAAAAGGUAACAUAGGAGAUAUAGUUCUCCAGUAUAUUUUGAUAAUGUUUUGUAUACCUUUAAAUACAGGUCAGUUGCUUGGAACGGAGUACUUUUACACUUUUAGGAUAUGAGUACCUCUGAUGCCACGGGUGGAGUAAAAGGCGUUGUGCAAUGGGUGGAGGAGGUGUAGACUGAUUGUUUGGGUCGUUGUUAAUACUAAUUUUACAUGAUCUCAUCAAAGAGGCCCUGUGGGAUUUUUCCAUUUUUUUAUGGCAUUUAAUAUUUAAAAUGAACACUCUUUCAUUAUUUGCAUUCCGAUUCCGUGAAUUCAGAUUUACAUUUGGAUACUAAACUAAAUUCAAACUAUUCAUACACCUUGUGUGGGUGAAAAGGUUAUUAUACCACCAGAGGGCAGCAUAGGCUCAACAACCAGGAGACAAUCAACGUACUCGUCAAUUGCAAGUUCAAUCAGAGUGCGUAGGUGUGGACGCGGGAGGACAUUGGUAUUUUCAUGGCGAUGUGAAGAAAUAAAACAUUAAGACGAG
Gasterosteus aculeatus aculeatus (three-spined stickleback) is the source of this 4433-nucleotide long non-coding RNA. The record is from Ensembl. NCBI's taxonomy places the organism in Eukaryota, Metazoa, Chordata, Actinopteri, Perciformes, Gasterosteidae.